GUCCACGCCCUAAACGAUGUCUACUAGUUGUCGGGUUUUAAUUAACUUGGUAACGCAGCUAACGCGUGAAGUAGACCGCCUGGGGAGUACGGUCGCAAGAUUAAAACUCAAAGGAAUUGACGGGGACCCGCACAAGCGGUGGAUGAUGUGGAUUAAUUCGAUGCAACGCGAAAAACCUUACCUACCCUUGACAUGUCAGGAAGACCGAAGAGAUUUGGUUGUGCCCGAAAGGGAACCUGAACACAGGUGCUGCAUGGCU
Molecule: ribosomal RNA, 259 nt
Filed under: uncultured bacterium
Lineage: Bacteria
Description: partial 16S ribosomal RNA
Rfam family: Bacterial small subunit ribosomal RNA
Source: RNAcentral